RNAcentral lists this unclassified non-coding RNA (792 nucleotides) under Hevea brasiliensis (rubber tree). The record is from RNAcentral. Lineage: Eukaryota; Viridiplantae; Streptophyta; Magnoliopsida; Malpighiales; Euphorbiaceae.
GUUAGGUUAGCGUUGAACAGAAAAAUUGGUGGUCGAGUUGAGGCAUAACCACUCGCGACUCGCGAUUCUAACACAGCCGAUCCCUCGUCUCGUUCUUCCCACACUCGUCAAUUUCUUUCCUUUCUCCAUUUUCCCUCCAAUCUUUGCCCUAAGAAAAGCUCCACAAUUUCUUUUCUAAAUUUUCGAUUUUCAAAAUCAAAUGCCAAUCAUUUUGUGGCAAAUUUAUCUAUUGGGUCUUCGAUUCGAUUCUCUGAUUAUAAGUUCUUCCCCACGCCUCAUCAGGUAUGCAAAGAAACUGUAUUUCUUUCGCUUUCUCUUAAUUAUAUCAAAAUCCAGUCUCUAUUAUUCUGCUAUUGCAAUUGAUUGUUAACCAUUUUCCCACGAUAAAAGUUACCAACUUUUUCUCUUCCUUUUAAUGUUAGAAGCUAACUGGUUAGGAUACAAUCUGCUGCUUUCAAUAAUUCAAUUUUACCUGAGAAUCAGAAUUCUAAACCAAUUGAAUUUGCACCAAAUGUCUAUAAAUUUGUGUUGGCCAUCAAUUUCUUCAUGUUUGACGCACAUUAUGUAACAUAACAUUUGCCUACCAACUUCAACACAAGGAACUACUUCUCAACAACUUUUGCUGGCCUUUCUCUUGAGUGGUGAUGAUUAUGCUCAAAUACUUAAUGCAGCAAACUCUCCUGAAUGGUUGAACUGAUGGCCCCACUCCGCUCCUCUGGAAUUGUUGAUCCGGGAUGGGAGCAUGGUGUUGCUCAAGAUGAGAGGAAGAAGAAGGUCAAAUGCAACUAUUGU